GAUGAAGAACGUAGCGAAAUGCGAUAAGUAAUGUGAAUUGCAGAAUUCAGUGAAUCAUCGAAUCUUUGAACGCACAUUGCGCCCGCCAGCACUCUGGCGGGCAUGCCUGUCCGAGCGUCAUUGCUGCCCUCAAGCACGGCUUGUGUGUUGGGCCCCGCCCCCCGGCUCCCGGGGGGCGGGCCCGAAAGGCAGCGGCGGCACCGCGUCCGGUCCUCGAGCGUAUGGGGCUUCGUCACCCGCUCCGUAGGCCCGGCCGGCGCCCGCCGGCGACCCCCCUCAAUCUUUUCAGGUUGACCUCGGAUCAGGUAGGGAUACCCGCUGAACUUAAGCAUAUCAAUAAGCGGAGGA
This 348-nucleotide unclassified non-coding RNA is filed under the name soil metagenome. Its description in RNAcentral is "partial contains 5.8S ribosomal RNA, internal transcribed spacer 2, and large subunit ribosomal RNA". The stretch from base 1 to 120 matches the Rfam family "5.8S ribosomal RNA", at positions 35 to 154 of the family's 154-position model. The record is from RNAcentral.